RNAcentral lists this long non-coding RNA (662 nucleotides) under Heterocephalus glaber (naked mole-rat). RNAcentral describes it as "lncRNA (ENSHGLG00000047255.1)". The record is from RNAcentral. Lineage: Eukaryota; Metazoa; Chordata; Mammalia; Rodentia; Bathyergidae.
CGCCAACCCCGGGACCCUGGGCGGCCUGCUGGCUGCAGCCUUGGCCGAGGCUGUCCCUAACAAAUGCCCUGCAGGGAGGGCGGUCCGGAGGAUCUUUGGGGCAGCUGUUGUGCAUUUCUUGCUUUGCCUGAGAAUUUUCUUUAGGUUGGGGAGGAACGCUCCCAAAGCGCAGCGUCAACAGGCCUGGUUUAGGGAGGUGCUAUGCUUUUGCCCUUGUGGGAAGGCGCCCACCGCUGGGACGGGGCGAACACUGUGGAGUGGGGUUCGGUCUUGGUGAUCAUAGGUUACUUUUCUAUUUUAAUGUCAAUGGGCAGUGGAAUCCUUGUGAGAGCCUGGGUGAUGAAGUUUCCAGCACUUGCACACAACUGCUACCUAAUUAUUUGCAGCAAAGAAUGCCUGCUGGCUUCAAAGCAUGUUUCACUCUUGGAUGUACUCCAUGGGAUACACAGCAAAAGUAGUGAAGCCUUCCCUCCUCCCAUGAAAACUAGUGAAUCUGACAAUGAUACAUGCUGAUCAAUGAGCAGCCUGUUAAGAAAAAAAUGUAUAGAAAGUCAUUUCUUUGAUUUGCUGUUUUGAAAAGGACAUGUUUUCCUUUGGAGUGAUUUUCACUUCUAAAUCUAAUCUAUUAUUUUGUAGGAGAAACAAUUUGUGUUAACUGGAAC